Long non-coding RNA from Apteryx haastii (Great spotted kiwi), 1682 nucleotides. The record is from Ensembl. NCBI's taxonomy places the organism in Eukaryota, Metazoa, Chordata, Aves, Apterygiformes, Apterygidae.
UAGAUGCUGGAUUCGCAGCCUCUCGGCCUCUUCCACGAAGGGACGCUUGUCGCUGGCGCUCAGCGCUUUCCACGACUGGCCUGCAAGGGGAAAGCGAGGCUCUGUGAAACCGGCUCGGCUUCCCGGCCAGGGCGCGGGGCACCCGAGGAUGGGACGUUUUGGGUACGGGGAGGGCUCCUGGGACCAUCUCAGCGCUUAACCUGGGUCCCAGCGCUUGCACGAGGGAGGGCUGGGAAACGGGAGCGAUCCCCUGAGCAGGGCUCCGGCGCUGCCCCCCGGCAGCAGACGGCGGGUUGUGCCCAGCGUUUUGGAGCGGAGCAGGGAGAAAGGGCGAUGCAAAGCCCUGGGGAGGCGAAGGACGGACCCCCUCCGCGAGGGCAGGUCCCGGGCAGCUGCCCGGGCUGGGCAGGGGGCUCUGGCUUCCCUGCAUCCCGCAGCCUGCAUCCUCAAUCCCCUAUCCCCAAAUGCCUCAUCCUGCAGCCCCAUAUCCUGAAUCCCUUAUCUCUGCACCCGGCAGCUGUGUCCCUCCCUGCAUCCCCCAUCCUGCAGCCCAUAUCCUGCUUCCCAUGUUCCUGCAUCCUGCAGCCCUGUCUACCCAUAUCCCGCUUCCCGUAUUCCCACAUCCUGCAUCCUACAGCCCCGUAUCCCCCGUGUCCUGUAUCCUGCAGCCCCAUAUCCCACAUUCUGCAGCCUCGUAUCCCUGUAUCCCGCACCCCUGCAGCCCUGUAUCCCCACAGCCCUGAACCCCACAUCCCACUGCCCUGUAUCUCUGCGUCCCACAGCCCCAGGUCCCCACACCCCAUAUCCCUGCAUCCCACAAACCUAUAUUCCCGCAUCCCGCAGCCCUGUGUCCUUGCAGCCUGCACCCCGCAGUGCUGCAUCCUGCAGUCCCACGUCCUUGCAGGCUGCAGCCCUGCAUCCCGCAGCCUUGCAUCCUUGCAGCCCACAUCCCACCGCCCUGUAUCCCUGCAGGCUACAGCCCAGCAGAGCGCUCGCAGCCUUGCGUCCUUGUCGCCCACAUCCCGCAGCCCCAAAUCCUUGCAGCCCACAUCCUGCAGCCCUGCAGCCUUGCACCCCCCAGCCCCGUAUCCCGGCCGCCUGCAGCCUGCAUCCCUGCGUCCUCACUUCUGCAGCGCCGUAUCCUUGCAGCUCGCAGCCUGCAUCCCACAGCCCCGCACCUUUGCAGCCCUGCGUCCCACAGCUCUGCAUCCUCGCAGCCCGCAUCCCACAGCCCUCUCUACCCUGGCAGCCUGCAUCCCGCAGCCCUGUAACCUUGCAUCCCGCCCCCCGCAGCCCCGUAUCCUUGCAUCCCGGCUCCCGCAGCCCUGUAUCCUUGCGUCCUGGCUCCCGCAGCCCUGUACCCUUGGUCCCGGCUCCCGCAGCCCCAUAUCUUUCCACCCCAGCUCCCGCAGCCCUGUGUCCUUGCCUCCCGGCUCCCGCAGCCCUGUAUCCUUGCCUCCCGGCUCCCGCAGCCCCGUAUCCUCGCCUCCCGGCUCCCGCAGCCCCGUGUCCUCGCCUCCCGGCUCCCGCAGCUCCGUAUCCUCGCCUCCCGGCUCCCGCAGCCCCGUGUCCUUGCAUCCCGGCUCCCGCAGCCCCGCACGGUGCCCUCGCGGCGCCCGCAGCCCCGCACCGGCGGCGCGGCCCCGCUCACCCAGCAUCUUGCUGAGCACNNNNNNNNNNNN